This 2783-nucleotide long non-coding RNA is filed under the name Homo sapiens (human). RNAcentral's name for it is "HSALNT0282204". Lineage: Eukaryota; Metazoa; Chordata; Mammalia; Primates; Hominidae. The record is from RNAcentral.
AUAUGCAAAUGAAUGGACAAGGCUGUGUUCCAAUACAAUUUUAUUUACAAGAACAGGCAACUGUAGCUUCUGUCUGUCCUCUUUCAGAGACAAGAAGAGAUCUUGGUCUAUCACUAGCACCAUGUGCAAGGAUCAGAUACGGACCGUAGGGGGAAAGAUCGGGCUUCUAAUCACAGCCCUGUGUCUCUGUAGCUCUUUCAGAUGCAAGUGCCAGAAACCCAAUGAAACAAGAAAUUUUCCUUGACCCUUUCGUGGGCCUCGCGACGGGGGUGCCUUACUUCCUCAGUCCGCAGCUCUCAACUCCUCAUGGUAGGGGGAGCACGCAGGAGCACCCAGGUGGACUUUAUUUCUGCACCAGGGAAGACAGACCUCUGCUAAUUCUGGACUCAAACACUGAUGGCUCUAGCCCUGGAGAAGAAAGAGGAUCUCCUUUAUCGAGGGCCAGCAGGUGAACCUUGCAAAACCCAGAACAGCCAGCCCUGAUCUUUGGUUUUGAUGGCGUGAGAAAUCACAGAACAAGCUCUUGAGAAAUAACCGAAUGUGUUCUCACAAAUAACUGGGAGACAUCAGGAUAAAAGUUCAUGUGAAGUUUGAAGGAGAGGAUGAAGAUCCUCCAAGCGCAUCAGCAGAAACAGCAAAGAAGUAAUAAUAUAUUUUAUGCAAGAGUCUAUUGGAAAGAGGAAGCAUAUGGAAGAAGGCAGUAGCAGAUUACUAAAAGCUGUAAAAUCUGUGGAGAAGGUCUGUGAAGAUAUUGAAACCAGUCAGUAGAAAGACAAAUAAAUAUAAUCAUUAUUGAAUUGUUAUAAUAAGUGAGUCUAUUGCAAACUCAUUAUGAUGGUAUAAGCCUAUUGACCAACUACAUCCUUAUUAUAGUUAUUAUAAUUACUGGCUCAGUGGAACUAUCACCAAACUCCCUAAUAUAAUUUGUUUGGUCUUUUUUUAAAUGUUUGUUAUAAAGCAGUAAGCCUCAUCCUCCUGUGAGAUGUAUCAUGUUAUCUGUUACUAAUACAAGUUAAAUAUUAAGAUAUAGGAAUUAUUUACUUCUAUUACACAGAAUCCAAAGUUUUCCCAAUAAUAAUGCUAUUAGCACUGUAGCAGACCCUGUUAGUGCCCUACCCAAAUCCCCUGAGCCCCACCCCUACAGACUAAAGGCUGCUUACUGUGAAUAUCUGUGACUCUCUGCUUGAGAGUGUUUUGCUGGCUACCAGAGCAUGCAGGGGCUUAUGCAUGGCAAAAUGAAAGUUCUAAAGAAUUAAUUAACUCCCAAUGAUGAAUGGGAGUUGGAAGAUAAAUACCCCAGUUUCCUUUCCCUUUGGUUGAGAUAACUCUGAGGUGUGUCUUUUACACUAGCCCCAAGAGUUCCCCAGCAGUAUUGCACUCCAGUUGCCUAUGGUGGUAACUUGCUGGAAUACAAACCCUUUGUUGGCUUCCCUCCCUCAUAUCCCCAAUCCUCAGCCAGUGCUUUCUGAUAUUCUACCCCUCACCCAAAUUAAUCAUUAGCACUCGAAUCCUUGUCUCAGGGUCUACUUCUGCUGUAACCCAAGCUAAGACAUCUACUAACUCUUUUUUUCUGACAUACCUUUUUGGGUGGGAAAGACAGUGGACUGUAGACAUUUGUUACCUUCAGUACAUCCAUGGGAGUAUGAUAUAUGUCAUUUGUGUCACGGUAGAAUAAAGGUUGAUAAUUGUCAUAAAACAUGCACCUGACUAGUUGAUUGACUGUGACACAAGGUGGCUUCAAGAAGGGAUGACAGCUCAGUAAAGAAAGGGCUCCUGGGCCGGGUGCGGUGUGGCUCAUGCCUGUAAUCCCAGCACUUUGGGAGGCCGAGGCGGGUGGAUCACGAGGUCAGGAGUUCAAGACCAGCUUGAACAAUAUGGUGAAACCCCGUCUCUACUAAAAAUACAAAAAUUAGCCAGGCGUGGUGGCAGACACCUGUAGUCCCAGCUACUCAGGAGGCUGAGGCAGGAGAAUCGCGUGAACCUGGGAGGUGGAGGUUGCAGUGAGCCAAGACUGUGCCACUGCACUCCAGCCUGGGCGACAGAGCUAGAGUCUGUCUCAAAAAAAAAAAAAAGAAAGAAAGAAAGGGCUCCUGGAGAACAGGGCCACACCUCUUAUGGUCCCUCCACUCCCAGUCCCAAGUUUCAUGAAUGUUAGUUUGUAGAAAAAGGCCUGAGAAUACCCCUUUAUCUCUGAGAGGCACCAGUUGUGAGCAUAGAGAGGCAAAGAAAAAUUAAGAAGAGUUUCCUUUUUGUGUAAAUACAGGGAAACUUUUUCUUUUCUUUCUUUAUUAAGAUAGGUGAAGCAGCUCAAUGUCAACUUCCAGAAUGGUAGAGUAAGAACCUCUGAAAAUUCGCUCCUCAUAAAAGCAAGGAGAACACUAGAAAAAAAGCUGUCAGAAACAACUUUUCAGGACUCUGGAAAUUAAAACUUGCAACAAUCUUAGGAAUGUUUAUUCAAGAAAAAUGGCUAAAUCUUGGUAAGAACAACAAAUAUUGUAGCCUCUUAACCUAUCUUAAUCCCAUCCCUCUCUCCCCAGCUCCACAGUAGCCUUAAAUGCCUUAAAAACUGUAACUACAAUGGCUGGGAAAUCCAGCAGCCUAGCAUCCACUGAAGAGGGCGAAAGAGGUUUGGAGUUGGGCGGGUGCAGUGGCUCAGGCCUGUAAUCCCAGCACUUUGGGAGGCUAAGGUGGGUGGAUCACGAGGUCAGGAGUUCAAGACCAGCUUGACCAACAUGGUGAAACCCCAUCUCUCCUAAAAAUACAAAAAAAAAUACACACAAAAA